Molecule: ribosomal RNA, 420 nt
Filed under: uncultured bacterium
Lineage: Bacteria
Description: bacterial SSU rRNA
Rfam family: Bacterial small subunit ribosomal RNA
Source: RNAcentral
GAAUAUUGGACAAUGGGCGCAAGCCUGAUCCAGCCAUCCCGCGUGCAGGAUGAAGGCCCUAUGGGUUGUAAACUGCUUUUACAGGGGCAGAACCCCCCGACUUUAGUCUGGUUUGACGGUACCCUGGGAAUAAGCACCGGCUAACUCCGUGCCAGCAGCCGCGGUAAUACGGAGGGUGCAAGCGUUAUCCGGAAUCACUGGGUUUAAAGGGUGCGUAGGCGGCAUGAUAAGUCAGGGGUGAAAGCCCGCAGCUCAACUGUGGAAUUGCCUUUGAUACUGUUGUGCUUGAAUCAGGUUGAGGUUGGCGGAAUGUGGCAUGUAGCGGUGAAAUGCAUAGAUAUGCCAUAGAACACCAAUUGCGAAGGCAGCCGGCUAGACCUGAAUUGACGCUGAGGCACGAAAGCGUGGGGAGCGAACAGG